Molecule: long non-coding RNA, 3509 nt
Filed under: Daucus carota (carrot)
Lineage: Eukaryota; Viridiplantae; Streptophyta; Magnoliopsida; Apiales; Apiaceae
Description: long non-coding RNA (DCAR_LNC002743)
Source: RNAcentral
AAGUUUUUGAAGCAGUCAAGGCUUGUUUCACUCCCGUCGCAGCAAGUUAAAUUAAAUGUGAAGAGACAUACAUAUUGAAUUAAAAAUCGUUGAAGAUGUACACACAUCUGAUGUAGUUGAUAUCUUGUAUUGUUAUAUCUUUUUUGCCGUUAUGUAAUACCUCAUGAACAAUCAAUUCGAUUUAGUUACUUUUACAAGGAGGUUACCUUACCUCUUCUAUGUAUGUUCCGUAUAUUCCAUAUUGAUUUUUGGCAAUACGACUAUCAGCUUUGUUGAGAUCUCUCAAGCAACAUAACAUAUUAGCGGCUGUACUUGUUUGUGUUGGAGAGGAUACUCAUUUUUUAACUUAAUAGUUCUGUAGAAACUUGCAUUAAGAAGUAGUUAGAGGUUUGGUCCCUGUUUUGAGGCUAUUUCCGAACUGUCUCGAUUACUCAAUAUAGAUAUUACCUGGUUUUCGAACUGUCACAAUGAAAUACAGAUAAGCUGUGCGCAAUUGCGCAUUGAUAAACAAGAUUUUAAUUUUUUCUAUAUCAAAUAUUGAUAAUUUUCGAUGUCAAAUAUAAGAGUCAUUAUAAUACCUACGUGGCGGAAAAAGUUUCAAAAUUAACAUCUAUCCAAACAUAACUUAACGGUAUUCAAAAUCAUUUUCAGUUCAUCACCUGAUUGUCUAUCCAAACAUAGCUUAGCUGUAUUCAAAAUCAUUUUCAGUGAUUAUCUCGUGAUUGUAAGUUUUUAUAUGUUUAAAUAUAUGAAAACAUCCUAUUCAAAAUUUGACAUGGUUAUGCUUUUAUUUAAAGAAUUAGAAAUCUGACGAUUAUAUUUGAACAAACUAAUCUCCACUAAAAUAAAAAUUUCUCAAAAUAAAAUAAUACUCCCUACAUCCCAUUUUAAGUGUCCACUUUGCAAUUUUCACACAUAUUAAGAAACAAUUAAUGUAAUGUUUUUAUCAUCAUUUUUCCACAACUAAUCAGCUUAGUUUUCAUACAUAUUAAUUACGUAUCUCAUUAAUUAUCGUGUAUUGGACCUUCUCUCAUUUCAAAUUACACUAUACAUUCAUAAUGCUUCUAAAUAUAUUUAUGAGGGCUUGUUGGUUGUAUUUAAUACUAUAUUGGAAAUAGUAUAAAUUUUAAAUUUUACAUGGGUUAAAGAGUAUGACACAUAUUAUGGGAUUUUUUUUUUUACAAAAUGGACACUUAAAAUGGGAUGGAGAGAGUAACAAUAUCAUUUGAUACAAAUUCAUUUUUGGAUCACUACAGAUAUAUGUGAAUUCUUCGUAGUAAGGGGAGUAUUCAUGAUCAUCUUCUCCUAUGAAAUUGCUGAUACUAAUAUUAUAAAUUCACAUAUUUUUAAAACAUAUUCGUAAUGCUUGAUUUUAUUUAUUUUUAACUAAUUUUAAUGGGAGCUCGCGAAGCGCGGGCAUAAUUCCCUAGUGCACAUAAAGAAUCCUACAAAAGCUCAAGCAUGUUAUCCACAAAAAACCUAUUAGCACUAAGCAGAGAAAUUCAAAAAAUAAUAUGAGCGUUACAUAUAUCCUAGGGGGCUAGUGCUGUGGACUGUGGUCAUCGUAAAUCACAAACCCAGCGCCUGUUGGUUUUCUUGAACCCAAAUGGCCAAAAAUUCGAAAGCUGUCGAUCAAGGUCCAGAUGAAGAACAUGCAGCAGAGCCUCAAGAAGAUGAAUCACUUGAUGAGACAGAGGAUGAACAAGAGUCUGGUGAUGAUGACUCCCAAAAGUCCCUCCCUGCUUUGACUCUUGUUCCCAAACCCCCUGAGCCCAAAGCGCCUACUAGCUCCAAACCUAGCCAUACAAAGCACACUGUUUCCAAGAUUCAUAAGAAGCGGUCCGCGGAGAGGGCUGAUAAGGUUUCAAAGAAGAGGAAAGUGGACAAGGGUUUGAGAAACAAGGAUAGGAGUAUUAAGAAGAAGGAUAAGAAAAGGGUGAGUGAGGCUAAUGGGAAUGCAAGUGUGGUAUUGGAUUUUUGGGGGUUGUUUCCGCGCUUAUGUGCCUCACUCGAAACAGAGGCAGUGGGGGAUUUGAAAGAGAUUUUGGUAAGAAAUGUCAAGGAAAAUGUGGAGGGGAUGAUUCGGAGGAUGGGUGAGGCCAAGGCAAGGGAACUCGAGGAGGGGUGGAAAGCUGUGCAUGAAAAGGAAGGGAAGUUGUAUGUUGAGAGGACACGUUUGAUCCAAAUGCAAGCUGAAGAUGCCGCGGAGUCGCUCAGUAGGACUCUUCGUCGAGGAGGUUAAAAUAUUUAUGAUGCAUCUUGUGAAAAGUUAAUUUAUUUUGUUACCGUGAAUGAUUGGAUUUUAGGUUUGAGAAUUAAAACUUGUGGUUAUCUCAGAAACUUUUAAGCUCAAGUUGUAAUUUGGUAUUGCAAUUAUGGAUCCCUGCAUUUCAGUUUGUGUAUUAUCUAGUCGUUUUUAUUAUUUCCGCAUAACCUCUUACUAGUAAAGUUACCUGAUUUAUUAAUUGUUUACUUUGUAAGAGUAGAAUAUCCUCUAGACUUAGUAAGGGAUCAGAAAUUUCUUAAAUUGUCGCCAGUUGGAUGAAAUUGUAUACUUGCUUAUGUCGCUUGCCUGUCACUUUCAACAUUGUUCAAAUUUCUUUGAUAAUGCUGUUCCAAGUUUUCUAGACCGCUGAUUUCUGCAAAAAUGCCUUUCACAGCAUGAAGCUACCUAGAUAGGGAGUCCACACAAGUUAGGUGUAUGACUCAUUUCAGUCUUCAGAACUAAACUAAAAAUAUAUACAGAAAAAAAACCAUACUGUUUCUGGAGAUUUUGCGUUCUUUCUUUGCUCAGUCGAACUAUAUAUAAUAUAAUAUUUCUCUCAGUUCUGUUUUACUCUAGCGGUUUCUAUUUCCCUCUUUGAUCUCCUUAGUGUUUAUAAUGUACUAUGAUUAUAACAUUACCACAGGAUCAGGGUAUAAGGAAUAAAACAUUUUCUACAUAUCUAUGGUUCACAUUUUCUGAUAGUACGAGAUAACUAACAAAGUCACAGGGAUUAUCAGCUUGUUCAUCCAUCCACCUACAUGUUUACUUUCAUUUGACAUUUAUUUGCAUAUAUAAUCUCUUUAUAAUCGUAUUCUAUGGCUCUAUGUUGUACUGUCCGUCUGUCCCCGUAACUCUCUUUCAUCUUAAUUUAGUGUUCUGAUCCCUGAUGAAUAUAGGCUGGGUGCAUGAAUAAGACACCCAACUUAAUUUUCUGUCCCUGAUGAUCUCUUUAAAUUAAUGACCUCUCUGCUGGUGCCGCCGAGCUGCUAUUCAGAUUGCUAUUUGCUCACAGAUUGAUGCUGCAAAGCCCGUUGAAGAAGUUUUUGAAGCAGUCGAGGUUUGUUUCACUCCCGUAGCAGCAAGUUAAACUAAAUGUGAAGAGACAUACAUAUUGAAUUAAUCUUUGAAGAUGUUCACACAUCUGAUGUAGUUGAUAUCUUGUAUUAUUAUAUCUUUUUUGCCGUUAUGUAAUACCUCAUGAACAAUCAAUUCGAUUUAGUUACUUUUACAAGGAGGUUACCUU